CCUACGGGCGGCAGCAGUGGGGAAUAUUGGACAAUGGGCGAAAGCCUGAUCCAGCCAUGCCGCGUGUGUGAAGAAGGCCUUCGGGUUGUAAAGCACUUUCAGUGGGGAAGAAAGCCUUGGGGCUAAUACCCUCGAGGAAGGACAUCACCCACAGAAGAAGCACCGGCUAAUUCCGUGCCAGCAGCCGCGGUAAUACGGAGGGUGCGAGCGUUAAUCGGAAUUACUGGGCGUAAAGCGCGCGUAGGCGGUCUGAUAAGCCGGUUGUGAAAGCCCCGGGCUCAACCUGGGAACGGCAUCCGGAACUGUCAGGCUAGAGUGCAGGAGAGGAAGGUAGAAUUCCCGGUGUAGCGGUGAAAUGCGUAGAGAUCGGGAGGAAUACCAGUGGCGAAGGCGGCCUUCUGGACUGACACUGACGCUGAGGUGCGAAAGCGUGGGUAGCAAACAGGAUUAGAUACCCCAGUAGUC
Molecule: ribosomal RNA, 465 nt
Filed under: Vreelandella stevensii
Lineage: Bacteria; Pseudomonadati; Pseudomonadota; Gammaproteobacteria; Oceanospirillales; Halomonadaceae
Description: partial 16S ribosomal RNA
Rfam family: Bacterial small subunit ribosomal RNA
Source: RNAcentral